RNAcentral lists this non-coding RNA (99 nucleotides) under Capsicum baccatum. RNAcentral's name for it is "Eukaryotic large subunit ribosomal RNA". It matches the Rfam family "Eukaryotic large subunit ribosomal RNA", at positions 2441 to 2539 of the family's 3401-position model. Lineage: Eukaryota; Viridiplantae; Streptophyta; Magnoliopsida; Solanales; Solanaceae. RNAcentral also lists the same sequence under 1 other name. The record is from Rfam by way of RNAcentral.
GUGAAAUGACUUGAGAGGUGUAGUAUAAGUGGGAGCCGAAAGGCGAAAGUGAAAUACCACUACUUUUAACGUUAUUUUACUUAUUCCGUGAAUCGGAAG